Molecule: ribosomal RNA, 499 nt
Filed under: uncultured Gammaproteobacteria bacterium
Lineage: Bacteria; Pseudomonadati; Pseudomonadota; Gammaproteobacteria
Description: bacterial SSU rRNA
Rfam family: Bacterial small subunit ribosomal RNA
Source: RNAcentral
AUGGGCGACAGCUGACGGAGACAAUACCGCGUGAGGGAUGACGGCCUGUGGGUGGUAAACCUCUUUUCUCAAGGAAGAAGUUCUGACGGUACUUGAGGAAUAAGCACCGGCUAACUCCGUGCCAGCAGCCGCGGUAAUACGUACGGUGCGAGCGUUAAUCGGAAUACUGGGCGUAAAGGGUGCGCAGGCGGAUAUUUAAGUUAGAUGUGAAAUACCCGAGCUAAACUUGGGGAGGUCAUUUAAUACUGGAUAUCUAGAGUUUGUCAGAGGGGGGUAGAAUUCCACGUGUAGCAGUGAAAUGCGUAGAGAUGUGGAGGAAUACCGAUGGCGAAGGCAGCCCCCUGGGAUAAAACUGACGCUCAAGCACGAAAGCGUGGGUAGCCAACCGGAUUAAAUCCCCUGGUAGUCCACGCCUUAAACGAUGUCUACUGGCUGUGGGGGGUAAACCUAGUAGCAAGCCUACGCGAGAAGUAGACGCCGGGGGAGUACCGUCCAAGAU